Molecule: ribosomal RNA, 301 nt
Filed under: uncultured bacterium
Lineage: Bacteria
Description: partial 16S ribosomal RNA
Rfam family: Bacterial small subunit ribosomal RNA
Source: RNAcentral
CAGUAGCCGCGGGAAUACGAAGGGUGCAAGCGUUACUCGGUAUUACUGGGCGUAAAGCGUGCGUAGGUGGUGGUUUAAGUCCGUUGUGAAAGCCCUGGGCUCAACCUGGGAAUUGCAGUGGAUACUGGGUCACUAGAGUGUGGUAGAGGAUAGUGGAAUUUCCGGUGUAGCAGUGAAAUGCGUAGAGAUCGGAAGGAACAUCUGUGGCGAAGGCGACUAUCUGGGCCAACACUGACACUGAGGCACGAAAGCGUGGGGAGCAAACAGGAUUAGAUACCCCGGUAGUCCCUGUCUCUUAUAC